CCUACGGGAGGCUGCAGUGAGGAAUAUUGGUCAAUGGCCGGAAGGCUGAACCAGCCAAGCCGCGUGAAGGACGAAGGUGCCAAGCAUUGUAAACUUCUUUUGUCAAGGGACAAAAUCAGGCUCGAGAGCCUGACCGAGGGUACUUGAAGAAAAAGCAUCGGCUAACGCCGUGCCAGCAGCCGCGGUAAUACGGAGGAUGCGAGCGUUAUCCGGAUUUAUUGGGUUUAAAGGGUGCGUAGGCGGACUGUUAAGUCAGCGGUAAAAGCCCGGGGCGAAACCCCGGCGAGCCGUUGAAACGGGGUGGCGUGGGAUGUCGAGGGGUAUGCGGAAUGCGCAGUGUAGCGGUGAGAUGCUUAGAGAUGGCGCAGAACUCCGAUUGCGAAGGCAGCAUACCGGCGGCGAUCUGACGCUGAGGCACGAAAGCGUGGGUAUCGAACAGGAUUAGAUACCCCUGUAGUC
This 459-nucleotide ribosomal RNA is filed under the name uncultured bacterium. RNAcentral's name for it is "partial 16S ribosomal RNA". It matches the Rfam family "Bacterial small subunit ribosomal RNA", at positions 338 to 795 of the family's 1533-position model. The record is from RNAcentral.